Molecule: small nucleolar RNA, 80 nt
Filed under: Drosophila erecta
Lineage: Eukaryota; Metazoa; Arthropoda; Insecta; Diptera; Drosophilidae
Description: snoRNA:GG25989
Source: RNAcentral
UGCGAAGUGCUUUCGCUUUCUGAGUAAACUGAAAGUGGCGUCCACAGGAUGGGCACAAUUAAGUGGCGCCCGCUGAGGGG